Molecule: ribosomal RNA, 398 nt
Filed under: uncultured bacterium
Lineage: Bacteria
Description: bacterial SSU rRNA
Rfam family: Bacterial small subunit ribosomal RNA
Source: RNAcentral
UAUCCGGAUUUACUGGGUGUAAAGGGAGCGUAGACGGUAGACCAAGUCUGAAGUGAAAGCCCGGGGCUCAACCCCGGAACUGCUUUGGAAACUGGUAAACUAGAGUGCAGGAGAGGUAAGUGGAAUUCCUAGUGUAGCGGUGAAAUGCGUAGAUAUUAGGAGGAACACCAGUGGCGAAGGCGGCUUACUGGACUGUAACUGACGUUGAGGCUCGAAAGCGUGGGGAGCAAACAGGAUUAGAUACCCUGGUAGUCCACGCCGUAAACGAUGAUUACUAGGUUUCGGGGAGUUAAACUCUUCGGUGCCGCAGCAAACGCAAUAAGUAAUCCACCUGGGGAGUACGUUCGCAAAAUGAACUCAAGGAAUUGACGGGGACCCGCACAGCGUGGACUGUGGUU